GAUUAUGUAAGUAAGAUGAGGGUUGAAUAUGCAAAAUUGGACAAAGCAGAAAUGAGCAUCUGGGAAUGCUGUGAAUUAUUGAAUGAUGUGGUUGAUGACAGUGACCCUGAUUUGGAUGAACCUCAAAUUCAACACUUGUUGCAAAGUGCUGAAGCCAUUAGGAAAGACUAUCCUGAUGAAGAUUGGCUCCAUUUGACUGCCCUUAUUCAUGACUUGGGUAAAGUGCUUCUUCUUCCUAGCUUUGGAGAGCUUCCUCAAUGGGCUGUUGUUGGUGACACAUUCCCUGUUGGCUGUGCUUUCCAUGACUCUAUUGUUCACUCCAAGUACUUUAAGGAAAAUCCUGACUACAAUAAUACUG
This 358-nucleotide unclassified non-coding RNA is filed under the name Hevea brasiliensis (rubber tree). Lineage: Eukaryota; Viridiplantae; Streptophyta; Magnoliopsida; Malpighiales; Euphorbiaceae. The record is from RNAcentral.